RNAcentral lists this ribosomal RNA (454 nucleotides) under uncultured bacterium. RNAcentral describes it as "partial 16S ribosomal RNA". It matches the Rfam family "Bacterial small subunit ribosomal RNA", at positions 28 to 507 of the family's 1533-position model. The record is from RNAcentral.
GAUGAACGCUGACCGAAUGCUUAACACAUGCAAGUCCACUUGAACUUCGGUUUGGGUGGCGGACGGGUGAGUAACGCGUAAAGAACUUGCCUCACAGCUAGGGACAACAUUUGGAAACGAAUGCUAAUACCUGAUAUUAUGAUUAUAUGGCAUCGUAUAAUUAUGAAAGCUAUAUGCGCUGUGAGAGAGCUUUGCGUCCCAUUAGCUAGUUGGAGAGGUAACAGCUCACCAAGGCGAUGAUGGGUAGCCGGCCUGAGAGGGUGAUCGGCCACAAGGGGACUGAGACACGGCCCUUACUCCUACGGGAGGCAGCAGUGGGGAAUAUUGGACAAUGGACCGAGAGUCUGAUCCAGCAAUUCUGUGUGCACGAUGAAGUUUUUCGGAAUGUAAAGUGCUUUCAGUUGGGAAGAAAAAAAUGACGGUACCAACAGAAGAAGUGACGGCUAAAUACGUG